GGAAGGCGAGGAGGAGGAGGAGGAGGAAGAGGAGGAAGAAGAGGAGAAGGAGGGGUGGGAAGCGGGGAGAUCGGAGAUGGUCGAGGAGGAGGAGGAGGAGGAUGGGAGGGGCUGCUGUGUGGUUGAAGACAAUACUAGAGGGGAGGAGGACGAGGAAGAAGAGGAAGAGGAGGGGGAGGAGGACGAGGAAGAAGAGGAAGAGGAAGGGGAGGAGGAGGAGGCGGGGCUUGUUGCUGCUGCACUAACCAGUAAGUGUACCUGGGCGGCGAGAGUCGUAACCCUAUUCUCUAACUCUAUGAUCCUCUGAUCAUCCUUCUGAGUCUUAACGCAGAACCUACAAACGUCCUUGGAAAGAAAGUACUGCUUGGCCAUGCGAAGGCCACACCCAGAACAACGCUUGAGGGACGUCAUGGUGAAGAUAUGGGCGAGGCAAGACGGAAACAAUUAGGCGCGUUAAGACGAUAACAAAGUACGCAGCUGCGGUGAGGUCGUCAGGUCAAAAAUGUGUAUCUAGGAAAACAAACCAACAGCUGCUGUGAGGUCGCAGUCAGGUCAAUUCCCCGGGGAAAAGGGUGUGUCUCGGGUAAAAAGGCGCGGUUAUUUCUACCCACCAAGACAAAACAUAGGCCAAUAUUAAUAUACUGAGAAAUCACUUAUGUAAAGAAGAUAAUAACUGUGUUCACUAGGUUUGCGCGGAAAGUGGAUUAUCUAGUGUUUUUGUGUGGACUUAGACAUUAACGUAGCUUGGCGCGCCUGAUUCACGUAGUCCUAUUAUCACAGCACAGUAAAGUAUCCUAAUAAUAGAAGGAAAAGAAAACACAAAAGCAAUAUAAAAAAACACAAAA
Molecule: long non-coding RNA, 845 nt
Organism: Eriocheir sinensis (Chinese mitten crab)
Lineage: Eukaryota; Metazoa; Arthropoda; Malacostraca; Decapoda; Varunidae
Exons: 2
Source: RefSeq, a predicted model, not a curated record